This 124-nucleotide small RNA is filed under the name Marmota monax (woodchuck). The record is from RNAcentral. Lineage: Eukaryota; Metazoa; Chordata; Mammalia; Rodentia; Sciuridae.
GCUGGGUGUGGUGGCACACACCUGUAAUCUCAGUGGCUCGGAGGCUGACACAGGAGGAUCGUGAGUUCAAAGCCAGCCUUAGCAAUGGAGAGGCACUUAGUAACUCAGUGAGACCCUGUCUCUA